UAGAUUGAAGCCCGCUGGUUUGGGUUUUUAGUUGUUAACUAAAGGUUUACGGGAUCGAGGCCCGUCGGUCUAG
Molecule: transfer RNA, 73 nt
Filed under: Hoplodactylus sp. Matapia
Lineage: Eukaryota; Metazoa; Chordata; Lepidosauria; Squamata; Diplodactylidae
Description: tRNA-Asn
Source: RNAcentral